RNAcentral lists this long non-coding RNA (212 nucleotides) under Ananas comosus (pineapple). Its description in RNAcentral is "long non-coding RNA (ACOM_LNC009686)". The record is from RNAcentral. Lineage: Eukaryota; Viridiplantae; Streptophyta; Magnoliopsida; Poales; Bromeliaceae.
CGUUUCUCACUUUGCCCCCUUGUGGUUUAAAAUGUAUUAAUUUGCCCCCAUGUGGUUUCGUUUUUAUCUUUUCGAUAGUUUUUUCGUUAAUAUUUCAUUAAAUUAUAUACAAAAAACUUCAGAUAUCUAUCUAAAUUUAUCAAAUAUUCACUUUAGUACCCUUUAAUUUUAACUUUAUCACUGAUUUAAAAAAAAAUAAUGAAAUUGAUAAG